RNAcentral lists this ribosomal RNA (281 nucleotides) under Triatoma infestans. RNAcentral's name for it is "partial 16S ribosomal RNA". Lineage: Eukaryota; Metazoa; Arthropoda; Insecta; Hemiptera; Reduviidae. The record is from RNAcentral.
GAUUUAAUGAGGAGAAUUUAAUUUUUGAGUUAAAAAGCUUAAAUUUAUUUGUGGGACGAGAAGACCCUAUAGAUCUUUAUAGUUUUAUAUUUUAAUAAUUUGGUGAUUUAUUUGUUUUAAGUAGAUGAACUAUUUUGUUGGGGUGACUGUAGAAUUUAAAUAACUUCUAUUAUUUUAUUUCAUUAAUUAAUGUUUUUGUGAUCCAUAUUUUAUGAUUAUAAGAUUAAGUUACCUUACGGAUAACAGCGUCAUUUCCUCGGAGACUUCAUAUUGAUGAGGGA